Molecule: long non-coding RNA, 300 nt
Filed under: Arachis ipaensis
Lineage: Eukaryota; Viridiplantae; Streptophyta; Magnoliopsida; Fabales; Fabaceae
Description: long non-coding RNA (AIPA_LNC002301)
Source: RNAcentral
UCCAGCUGCAGUCUCCCUCUCACUCUCAGCGACAUUGCUGAACGCUUUCUCCUCCAUCUCCUCCCCUGUCAAGUGAAGAUUGUUUGCGAUGUAACCAGGAGAGGAAUUAGGGACUACCUUCCUUCAAUUGGUGUGGUAUCUAAGAUACCUAUCCUCUUCACUCUCUCAUGAUAUUGACUGGGUCCCGCUGUGCAAGCUUUCGUUGUUCUGCUGCUGCCAAUUUUCGGGGUGCUUCACUCUUUAGGAUCGUCAUCAGCUCGGCCUGAGAGGGCUGCUUCUAAGCUUCUUUGCUUUGAGGUU